UGGGGAAUAUUGCACAAUGGGCGCAAGCCUGAUGCAGCCAUGCCGCGUGUGUGAAGAAGGCCUUCGGGUUGUAAAGCACUUUCAGCGAGGAGGAAGGUGGUGAGCUUAAUACGCUCAUCAAUUGACGUUACUCGCAGAAGAAGCACCGGCUAACUCCGUGCCAGCAGCCGCGGUAAUACGGAGGGUGCAAGCGUUAAUCGGAAUUACUGGGCGUAAAGCGCACGCAGGCGGUUUGUUAAGUCAGAUGUGAAAUCCCCGGGCUCAACCUGGGAACUGCAUUUGAAACUGGCAAGCUAGAGUCUCGUAGAGGGGGGUAGAAUUCCAGGUGUAGCGGUGAAAUGCGUAGAGAUCUGGAGGAAUACCGGUGGCGAAGGCGGCCCCCUGGACGAAGACUGACGCUCAGGUGCGAAAGCGUGGGGCAGCAAACAGGAUUAGAUACCCUGGUAGUCACGCUGUAAACGAUGUCGA
Molecule: ribosomal RNA, 468 nt
Filed under: uncultured bacterium
Lineage: Bacteria
Description: partial 16S ribosomal RNA
Rfam family: Bacterial small subunit ribosomal RNA
Source: RNAcentral